RNAcentral lists this long non-coding RNA (1942 nucleotides) under Homo sapiens (human). RNAcentral describes it as "HSALNT0249585". Lineage: Eukaryota; Metazoa; Chordata; Mammalia; Primates; Hominidae. The record is from RNAcentral.
CUUUUUGAAUGUGUUGUAAGAUAAGGGUCCAAUUUCACUCUUUUGCAUGCGGAUAUCCAGUUUUCCCAACACCAUUUAUUGAAGAGGAUAUCCUCUCUCCAUUGUAUGUUCUUAGUGACCUUGUCAAACAUUAGCUGGGUGUGUAUAUGCAUGGGUCUGGCUUUUGCUCUGAGGUUCCUCAUUUCUAAGGGAUGUUUGCACCCCUAUCAGGGAUAAAAGCAGAGGAAGGAAGGUGAGGUGAGAACUUGUACUUGAUUGGGUGGCUUUACACAUUCUUGUCCUGGCCAUACUUCUCUAAGGGUUUUUGAGGGAUGUACAGGAGCUCCCGCAGGCCCAUUUCACAACAAUGCUCAGGGUACGUGCAAAGGCCUAGCUUCACUGGUAGUUGUCUCUGCCCAGGAACACAUGGUCAGAGUCCCUUCCCUCUUCCAGGACUCCAUUCCAGCUCCCUGUCUGUAUGGUCCACACAUGUCCACAGGAAACACACAUGUAUCCUCCAGCUGAAUACACUUGAGCUGCUCCAGCACAGCCACCCUUACUCUCCCACCAAGGAGUAAGUCAUUAGCUUUCCCCCAUGCUCCCCAGGAGCGGCAUCAAAAUAACAAAACAGAAACAUCAUUUAAGAUGUAUAAAUCACCCUUAUUAAUCUGUCCAAAGGCUUUUCACUAUUAUUAGCAAUCCAGAAUAGUAAAUAUUUGUAUGUAAAUGAGGACAUAUGUGUGUAAAAUAGUUUGGAAUUUUUCAAUAAUCUUUGCUUCUUUCUGUCUCUCUCUUCUCUCUCUGUCUCUCUCUCUCUCUGUCUCUUUCAAUUCUUGAGAAUAUAUACAUUCAUCCAGACUGAGAAUUUGUUGUAUUUCAGAGCACAGCCUCACUCAUCAUAGUUUAUUUGAAUCAGAGAGUUGGACUAUAUAGUUAAGGCUCACAGAGACGGCAGGUUAGAUCUUGCCUUCAGCCUAAGGGCAAUGACAUCCCUUGUUUUGCCAGUACUGCUGAUUGAAAGUGGAACUUGCAGAACACACCCUUGGCUCUUAAAAACAUUAGAAUGAGCAAUGGAGUAUUAUUUCAUCAGUAUCAGUCUGUGCUGUCUUAAAUUUUGAUUUUGGUUUCUUUUUUGCUCUUUAUGAUUGUUACUUAAAUGUUUUUUAGCCAAAAGCCCAGUGGAAAUGUUUACCCAAUAGAAAUAUAUAACUAACUUACUAUGGAACAGUGAUAGACAGAGGAGUGAGAAUGGCAACACCAACACCGCCAUGCCCACCUCCCCUUCAUAGUCACUAUUUCACAGAUAUCUUCUCCAGAGCUUGUCAACACUUGCUAAUUACACUUUCAGGGGAUGACCCAUUUCUUUGAGCAUUCACUUAUUUUCAUAUUGUUUUAAGAAAAAUCAGUCAAAUCCUAGCGUUAUUCAUAUUCAUAUUCAAAAAUUAUUUGCCUUUUUCCUCAAAUUUUGUAAACAAUGAAUAUCUCCAAAUAUAGAGAAGAAAGAGAAGAAGUAGGGUAUGCAUCAUGAAAAGAACUCCAUGAGGCUUAUGAAUUGGUAUUGGCCCUGAGGUAUACUCAUCUCCUUUUAACCAUAUUAGUGAUCAUGUUUAUUUGGAUUUGCUCACUGAGGUGUGAGAGAACACACUACACACUACACACCUUCGGAGCUUGCAGCUCAGAAUCUGAGGUCCACCAUGGAGGAGAGAAGAAUUUAUCACUCACCCUGAACUCCAUUGGAAAAAAAAAAUGACUUUUCUUUAAUUGUAUGAAAUCCCCAAGUGUCGCAAAACAUUUUCAUUAAAAAUUUUAAGAGAAACCUCAUCUUUGAUUUCAUUCAUUUAUUCAUUCAACCAAUGCGUGUUUUUGGAAUACCUAUACCUGCUACCUAUAACUAUAGACACUUGAAGAGAGGUUGAAGAUACAAUAGUGAACAAGACAGUCUCUGCUGUCAUGAAGCUCACCG